Molecule: ribosomal RNA, 253 nt
Filed under: uncultured bacterium
Lineage: Bacteria
Description: partial 16S ribosomal RNA
Rfam family: Bacterial small subunit ribosomal RNA
Source: RNAcentral
UACGUAGGGUCCGAGCGUUGUCCGGAAUUAUUGGGCGUAAAGGGCUCGUAGGCGGUUUGUCACGUCGGGAGUGAAAACUCAGGGCUCAACCCUGAGCGUGCUUCCGAUACGGGCAGACUAGAGUUCGGUAGGGGAGACUGGAAUUCCUGGUGUAGCGGUGAAAUGCGCAGAUAUCAGGAGGAACACCGGUGGCGAAGGCGGGUCUCUGGGCCGUAACUGACGCUGAGGAGCGAAAGCGUGGGGAGCGAACAGG